AUUGAACGCUGGCGGCAUGCCUUACACAUGCAAGUCGAACGGCAGCACGGAGCUUGCUCUGGUGGCGAGUGGCGAACGGGUGAGUAAUAUAUCGGAACGUACCCAAGAGUGGGGGAUAACGUAGCGAAAGUUACGCUAAUACCGCAUACGAUCUAAGGAUGAAAGCAGGGGACCUUCGGGCCUUGUGCUCCUGGAGCGGCCGAUAUCUGAUUAGCUAGUUGGUGAGGUAAAGGCUCACCAAGGCAUCGAUCAGUAGCUGGUCUGAGAGGACGACCAGCCACACUGGAACUGAGACACGGUCCAGACUCCUACGGGAGGCAGCAGUGGGGAAUUUUGGACAAUGGGGGCAACCCUGAUCCAGCAAUGCCGCGUGAGUGAAGAAGGCCUUCGGGUUGUAAAGCUCUUUUGUCAGGGAAGAAACGGUGAAGGCUAAUAUCCUUUGCUAAUGACGGUACCUGAAGAAUAAGCACCGGCUAACUACGUGCCAGCAGCCGCGGUAA
RNAcentral lists this ribosomal RNA (500 nucleotides) under uncultured bacterium. Its description in RNAcentral is "partial 16S ribosomal RNA". It matches the Rfam family "Bacterial small subunit ribosomal RNA", at positions 30 to 523 of the family's 1533-position model. The record is from RNAcentral.